AGCGAACGCUGGCGGCAGGCCUAACACAUGCAAGUCGAACGAACCUUUCGGGGUUAGUGGCGGACGGGUGAGUAACACGUGGGAACGUGCCUUUAGGUUCGGAAUAACUCAGGGAAACUUGUGCUAAUACCGAAUGUGCCCUUCGGGGGAAAGAUUUAUCGCCUUUAGAGCGGCCCGCGUCUGAUUAGCUAGUUGGUUGAGGUAAUGGCUCACCAAGGCGACGAUCAGUAGCUGGUCUGAGAGGAUGAUCAGCCACAUUGGGACUGAGACACGGCCCAAACUCCUACUGGAGGCAGCAGUGGGGAAUCUUGCGCAAUGAGCGAAAGCCUGACGCAGCCAUGCCGCGUGAAUGAUGAAGGUCUUAGGAUUGUAAAAUUCUUUCACCGGGGACGAUAAUGACGGUACCCGGAGAAGAAGCCCCGGCUAACUUCGUG
Molecule: ribosomal RNA, 434 nt
Filed under: uncultured bacterium
Lineage: Bacteria
Description: partial 16S ribosomal RNA
Rfam family: Bacterial small subunit ribosomal RNA
Source: RNAcentral